AAGGAGCACGAGCCAACACGAUCGGUUCACAACGAACCGACGCAACGGCUGCUCGUUAGUCUGUGGAGCACUGACUAUUCAACAGUCCUCUGAUCGUUCUUCCGCAAGUACAAGCCGCAAGGCAGUGGAACGGGGUCGCAAGGAUCGAAGACUGUUGAGCACGCUGUUGGGUCCUGAGGAAACGGGAAACCGUUGACUCGGAUCGUGCGGGCCCAGGCCGAAGAGACUGAACUCUCUGAAAGCUUGGGUUGCCGUCUGUUUUUUGAGAACUGCACAGUGGACGCGAGCAUCUUAAGCAAUUUUAAGAAGCGAGCCUGGAUAUUCUGAUUCUGUCAGGGUUUUCUGGUUCAUCUUAGAUGUCUUAGUUGGGACCAUUUUUGU
RNAcentral lists this unclassified non-coding RNA (381 nucleotides) under Actinocorallia glomerata. RNAcentral describes it as "partial 16S-23S ribosomal RNA intergenic spacer region". The record is from RNAcentral. Lineage: Bacteria; Bacillati; Actinomycetota; Actinomycetes; Streptosporangiales; Thermomonosporaceae.